This 838-nucleotide unclassified non-coding RNA is filed under the name Hevea brasiliensis (rubber tree). Lineage: Eukaryota; Viridiplantae; Streptophyta; Magnoliopsida; Malpighiales; Euphorbiaceae. The record is from RNAcentral.
GGCAAUCAUGCCAAUGUCAGCUGUGGGUGCUGGCGGUAUUCCUGGCCCCACAACCAACUUGAAUAUUGGUAUGGACUACUGGAAUGCCGCUGCUUCGCCGAAUAUUCCUGCAAUCCAUGGGAAGGUACCGUCUGCUUCAGUUGCUGGAGGAAUAGUUAAUGCUGGAUCAAGGGAUAUUGUCCAAUCACAAAUGUGGAUUCAGGAUGAAAGGGAGCUCAAGAGGCAGAGAAGAAAGCAGUCCAACAGGGAAUCUGCACGUAGGUCUAGGCUACGGAAGCAGGCAGAGUGCGAUGAACUAGCACAGCGUGCUGAAGUUCUAAAGGAAGAAAAUGCCUCUCUUAGAGCAGAACUGAGUCGUCUAAGGAGUGAGCAUGACCAACUUGCUUCUCAGAAUGCUUCUCUUAAGGAGAGACUUGGCGAAGUUUCAGGCCGAGAUGAUCCAAGACCUAGUAGAAAUGACAUACAUCUAAACAAAGAUACCCAGCAUUCAUCACAAACAGAGCCCAAACAGGGUGGUCAGUGAAGUUCUGGCUAGAUUAUCGUGGAUUGAAAAAUAGGCUUAACCUAACAAACUUAGUAGUAAGAGUCUUUAAUUUGCAUAUUUAUGUAGUUUAACAAUCUAUGGAAAUGUGAGGCUUUUUGGUAUCAGGAUUCGUUGUCCUAUGUUGUCCAUUGUUUCUCAGUUUGGACCGAUCUUUUAUGGUCGAGAAACCUGGAUAAUAUGUAGAGUAUGUGACCGAUGACUCGUGAUAGUUUUGUGCCUAAUAGGUGGUGUCUCUGUUUGCUCAAAUUUGUAUGUACUGAUGAAAUAGUUGAUGAGUCUGCUCUUAGAACUAAU